Pelobates fuscus (common spadefoot toad) is the source of this 173-nucleotide long non-coding RNA. RefSeq lists it as uncharacterized. Lineage: Eukaryota; Metazoa; Chordata; Amphibia; Anura; Pelobatidae. The transcript is spliced from 3 exons. The record is from RefSeq and is a predicted model, not a curated record.
CCAGGUAUAGAUGCUGUAGAUCUAGAUGGUGGUGUAGAUGUUGGUGUCCAGGUGUAGAUGCUCUAGGUCUAGACGGUGGUGUAGAUGUUGGUGUCCAGGUGUGGAUGCUGUAGGUCUAGAUGGUGGUCUAGAUGGUGGUGUCCAGGUGUAGAUGCUCGAGGUCUAGAAGGUGG